RNAcentral lists this ribosomal RNA (505 nucleotides) under uncultured bacterium. RNAcentral's name for it is "partial 16S ribosomal RNA". It matches the Rfam family "Bacterial small subunit ribosomal RNA", at positions 28 to 507 of the family's 1533-position model. The record is from RNAcentral.
GACGAACGCUGGCGGCGUGCCUAAUACAUGCCAGUAGAACGCACAGUUUAUACCGUAGCUUGCUACACCAUAAACUGUGAGUUGCGAACGGGUGAGUAACGCGUAGGUAACCUGCCUGGUAGCGGGGGAUAACUAUUGGAAACGAUAGCUAAUACCGCAUAAUAUUGAUUAUUGCAUGAUAAUUGAUUGAAAGAUGCUAUUGCAUCACUACCAGAUGGACCUGCGUUGUAUUAGCUAGUAGGUGAGGUAACGGCUCACCUAGGCGACGAUACAUAGCCGACCUGAGAGGGUGAUCGGCCACACUGGGACUGAGACACGGCCCAGACUCCUACGGGAGGCAGCAGUAGGGAAUCUUCGGCAAUGGACGAAAGUCUGACCGAGCAACGCCGCGUGAGUGAAGAAGGGUUUCGGAUCGUAAAGCUCUGUUGUAAGAGAAGAACGGGUGUGAGAGUGGAAAGUUCACACUGUGACGGUAUCUUACCAGAAGGGGACGGCUAACUACGUG